ACGAACGCUGGCGGCGUGCCUAAUACAUGCAAGUAGAACGCUUAAGGAGGAGCUUUCUUCUCUGGAUGAGUUGCGAACGGGUGAUUAACGCGUAGUUAACCUGCCUGGUAUCGGGGGAUAACUAUUUGAAACGAUAGCUAAUACCGCAUAAUAGUAGAUUUUGCAUCACAUUUGCUUAAAAGUUGCAAUUUCAUCACUACCAGAUGGACCUUCGUUGUAUUAGCUAGUUGGUGGGGUAAAGGCUCACCAAGGCGACGAUACAUAGCCGACCUGAGAGGGUGAUCGGCCAAACUGGGACUGAGACACGGCCCAGACUCCUACGGGAGGCAGCAGUAGGGAAUCUUCGGCAAUGGACGGAAGUCUGACCGAGCAACGCCGCGUGAGUGAAGAAGGUUUUCGGAUCGUAAAGCUCUGUUGUAAGAGAAGAACGAGUGUGAGAGUGGAAAGUUCACACAGUGACGGUAACUUACCAGAAAGGGACGGCUAACUACGUG
This 494-nucleotide ribosomal RNA is filed under the name uncultured bacterium. RNAcentral describes it as "partial 16S ribosomal RNA". It matches the Rfam family "Bacterial small subunit ribosomal RNA", at positions 29 to 507 of the family's 1533-position model. The record is from RNAcentral.